UGCAGUCGACAGGAUUCGAACCUGUGCAGGAAGAUCCCAAUAGAUUUCUAGUCUAUCGCCUUAACCACUCAGCCACGACUGC
RNAcentral lists this transfer RNA (82 nucleotides) under Cordylochernes scorpioides. Its description in RNAcentral is "tRNA-Ser". Lineage: Eukaryota; Metazoa; Arthropoda; Arachnida; Pseudoscorpiones; Chernetidae. The record is from RNAcentral.